UCCUCGAGCUUGUAAGUAAGGGCUUCCUUGAAAAGGUUUAUAAAAGGUUUCAGCUGCAAGAUUCCCAUGUGUCUGUGUACGCGAAGCAGAUAUUGCUAGGUUUAAAUUAUCUCCAUAAGCGAAGUAUCGUUCACAGGGACAUCAAAUGUGCAAAUGUAUUGGUGGAUGAAAAUGGAAGCGUGAAAAUUGCGGAUUUUGGAUUGGCAAAAGUAACCGAGUUAAAUGCUCUCAUGCAGUCCAGCAAAGGGACUCCAUAUUGGAUGGCUCCUGAGGUUGUUAACAGGAAGAGAGCAGGAGGGUAUGGGCUUGAAGCUGAUAUAUGGAGCUUUGGGUGCACUGUGUUGGAGAUGUUAACCAAAAAACCUCCAUACUCUGAUUUGGAGCCAAUGCAAGUAAUUUUUCAGAUUGGAAAAGGUCACCCACCUUCUCUUCCUAAUUCUUUGUCAGAUGAUUCGCGGGACUUUAUCCAGCAAUGCCUACAA
Molecule: unclassified non-coding RNA, 482 nt
Filed under: Hevea brasiliensis (rubber tree)
Lineage: Eukaryota; Viridiplantae; Streptophyta; Magnoliopsida; Malpighiales; Euphorbiaceae
Source: RNAcentral